This 370-nucleotide ribosomal RNA is filed under the name uncultured eukaryote. RNAcentral describes it as "partial 18S ribosomal RNA". It matches the Rfam family "Eukaryotic small subunit ribosomal RNA", at positions 592 to 976 of the family's 1831-position model. The record is from RNAcentral.
CAAUAGCGUAUAUUAAAGUUGUUGCAGUUAAAAAGCUCGUAGUUGGAUUUCUGGUCGGAAGCUCCUGUCCUCUGAUGAGCGUACAAGUGCGUCCUACCAUCCUUCUGUUAACCUUUAAGGCUUUCGCGGCUUUCUAGGGGCUCAGAUAUUUUACCUUGAGAAAAUUAGAGUGUUUCAGGCAGGCUAGCGCCGGAAUACAUUAGCAUGGAAUAAUGGAAUAGGACUUUUGCCUCUUCUGUUGGUCAUGAGGCUCGAGUAAUGAUUAAUAGGGAUAGUUGGGGGCAUUAGUAUUUAACUGUCAGAGGUGAAAUUCUCGGAUUUGUUAAAGACUAACUUAUGCGAAAGCAUUUGCCAAGGAUGUUUUCAUUAA